Molecule: transfer RNA, 97 nt
Filed under: Candidatus Latescibacterota bacterium
Lineage: Bacteria; Pseudomonadati; Candidatus Latescibacterota
Also listed under: 1 other name
Description: tRNA-Sec
Rfam family: Selenocysteine transfer RNA
Source: RNAcentral
GGGAAUGGAUGGGCCCUGGUGGACCCCGGGGACUUCAAAUCCCUAUGUCGGUUGUUUAAUCGGCCGAGGUGGGUUCGAUUCCCACACAUUCCCGCCA